CAACGGGAGCGUAGAGCCGCGACGCGCGGUCGGCGAUACGGCGAUACACGGAGCGGCCUGCUUCGGCAGCUUCCAUCAUUCGUACCAUUUCCGCGAGGAAUGAGUCCUUCGCAGCCGCGGUGNNNUGGUCAGAGGUCCCGUCAGGUUCAGCGUUCCGGCUGAAAGCAUUGCGCCUGCAACGGCCGGUUGCGGCCGGCUCUCUCCGGUAACGAUGGCGCAAUCGAUGUCCGAUGUUCCCUUGAUCACUUUAGCAUCGACC
RNAcentral lists this unclassified non-coding RNA (259 nucleotides) under Hevea brasiliensis (rubber tree). Lineage: Eukaryota; Viridiplantae; Streptophyta; Magnoliopsida; Malpighiales; Euphorbiaceae. The record is from RNAcentral.